UACGUAGGGGUGCGAGCGUUGCCCGGAUUUAUUGGGCGUAAAGGGCGCGUAGGCGGCUCGACACGUUCGUUGUGAAAUCGCCCGGCUCAACUGGGCGGGGUCAGCGAAUACGGUCGAGCUUGAGCAAGCUAGGGGGCAAUGGAAUUCCCGGUGUAGUGGUGGAAUGCGUAGAUAUCGGGAGGAACACCAGUGGCGAAGGCGGUUGCCUGGGGCUUUGCUGACGCUGAUGCGCGAAAGCGUGGGGAGCGAGUCCGG
RNAcentral lists this ribosomal RNA (255 nucleotides) under uncultured bacterium. RNAcentral describes it as "partial 16S ribosomal RNA". It matches the Rfam family "Bacterial small subunit ribosomal RNA", at positions 524 to 777 of the family's 1533-position model. The record is from RNAcentral.